Molecule: ribosomal RNA, 253 nt
Filed under: uncultured bacterium
Lineage: Bacteria
Description: partial 16S ribosomal RNA
Rfam family: Bacterial small subunit ribosomal RNA
Source: RNAcentral
UACGUAGGGGGCAAGCGUUGUUCGGAAUUACUGGGCGUAAAGGGCGCGUAGGCGGCACGACAAGUCGGGAGUGAAAGCCCGGGGCUCAACCCCGGAAUGUCUCUCGAAACUGUCGAGCUAGAGUGCAGAAGAGGCAACUGGAAUUCCCAGUGUAGCGGUGAAAUGCGUAGAUAUUGGGAAGAACACCUGAGGCGAAGGCGGGUUGUUGGGCUGACACUGACGCUGAGGCGCGAAAGCCAGGGGAGCGAACGGG